This 1452-nucleotide ribosomal RNA is filed under the name Pseudosuberites sp. CY-2021. RNAcentral's name for it is "large subunit ribosomal RNA". It matches the Rfam family "Bacterial large subunit ribosomal RNA", at positions 1034 to 2787 of the family's 2925-position model. Lineage: Eukaryota; Metazoa; Porifera; Demospongiae; Suberitida; Suberitidae. The record is from RNAcentral.
GCCGAAAGGGUAUAUACUUCAAAUUAUUACAUAAUUUGAUAAUUGAAUUCCAAAUCGUGGAUUCAGUUUAAUAUAAUGGUAGCAGAACGUUCUGUAAUACGAUUAAAUUACGAAAGUUUAUCAGAAGUGAUAAUGCGGACAUGAGUAAAAAACAGUGUGAGAAUCGCUGCUCAUAGCCCUCGGUUUCCAAUAGUUGAGAUUAUCAAGAUUGGGUUAUACAGCCCCUAAGAAUGAGUAUUUAAUUUAAAUUCAAAUUAAUACGCACAAUGGGGAAAAAUUAAUAAGUGAAAAAAUUAAUUUAAUUCAAAUAAGAAUAAGCUGUACUUAAACUAACACAAGUGGGCUUUAAGUGAUGGUAGAAUUUAUCUUAAGGAACUCGGCAAAAUGACCCCGUAAGAUUGCAAGAAGGGGUGCCAAAUUUAAGGAAAACUACAUAUAGUUUAUUUUGAAGUUGGCUUCAGAAAAGAGGGGGUGUCGACUGUUUACCAAAAACAUAGCUUCCACCAAAAGCCUUUAAGGCUGAAGUAUUGGAGGUGAGGCCUGCCCAGUGGUUGUAUCUAAACCCAUGUGAUUAUGACCCGACCAUCGGUCGAAGAAGUAACAUGAUUAAGGACAAUUAAAUGGCCGCGGUAAAUCUGACCGUGAUAAUGUAGCGCAAUCAAUAGCCAAUUAAUUGUUGGCAAGUAUGAAUGGCGUAACGAAUGCCCCACUGUCUCAAGAUAAAAACCAAUGAAAUUGAAAUCGUAGUGAAGAUGCUACGUACAAAUUGUAAGACGAGAAGACCCCAUUGAGCUUUACUGGAAGCUUAUAUUGUUUUUUUCCAAUUAAUGUGUAGAUUAUGUGGGUACAUUAUGAAAAACCACUCAUUAAUUAUAAAAAAAACUUACUGGGAUAUAAAAAUUGGACAAGUAUAAGCCGGACAGUUUGGUUGGGGCGACCGCCUUCUAAAAAGUAACGAAGGUGUACAUAAGGUAAAUAAUAUAAUAGUAUAAAGUAAAAAGCCUGACAGCAAGGGGGACUCCCGAGCUGACACGGAGGAAAUUAUGAUAAACCAAUAGGUUUUAUGAUUACCCGUCUGUGGGUUAUAAUGACCCGUUAGUUAAGAGUGGAUUUGCUAACGAGCAACGAAUAAAAGUUACCAUGGGGAUAACAGCGUAAUAUCGUUCAAGAGUUCAUAUCGACGACGAUGUUUGCGACCUCGAUGUUGAAUUGCGGUAUCCUAGGGGUGUAGCCGCUUCUAAGGGUUGGACUGUUCGUCCAUUAAAACCGUACAUGAUUUGAGUUCAGACCGGCGUGAGCCAGGUCGGUUUCUAUCUACAAUUUGUUUAGGAAACAUUAGAUAUAACUACAUUCUAGUACGAAAGGACCGAGUGAUAGGUAUCCGCUGGUGUACCAAUUACCUUGGGUUGUUGGGUAGCUACGAUAAAAUUAAGGCUUCAAGAAAAAUGAAGU